UUGCUUUGUUACUUUCGCAUCGUUCGGUGCAUUCUGGGGGCUGUGAUGGCUUUUCGUGGCUUGCUUGGCCUUUUGGCUUGGCUUGUUGCUACUUGUCGGGCGGCCUUCGGGAAUGUCGACCGUGGAGGUGCAUGAGUGGUGUUUGGUUUGUUACGUGUGGAUGGCUGUUUGCUUGCGCAACAACGUUCACGCUGCAUACCUCUUCAGUUUUGCGGCAAGGCUUUGUUUGGCUUGUCCAUAUUGUGGGUUUCCUGUGUUGCAUACCUAGUUGAUGGAAAAGUAUGGGUUUUACGAUUUUCAUUUUCGUCCUGCGUCGUUCUUUCGGCAUGGGAUGAGCAAUGAAGCGAUCUUUAUGAUCCACCGUGCUGUUGCGUUUGCAACAAUGAUGUGGCCUAUGAAGCAUCGUUUGGUCUCUUGUAUACGGAAGCUCAUUUGGGCUUGGGUCUUUAUAAGAUCUUCGUUAUGCCCUUGUUAAGCGUUCUCGCUUCUCCUAAACGAUUGCCUGCCAUGUUACGGCUUGUCCC
RNAcentral lists this unclassified non-coding RNA (524 nucleotides) under Cynara sibthorpiana. Its description in RNAcentral is "partial external transcribed spacer". The record is from RNAcentral. Lineage: Eukaryota; Viridiplantae; Streptophyta; Magnoliopsida; Asterales; Asteraceae.